This 450-nucleotide ribosomal RNA is filed under the name uncultured bacterium. Its description in RNAcentral is "bacterial SSU rRNA". It matches the Rfam family "Bacterial small subunit ribosomal RNA", at positions 355 to 825 of the family's 1533-position model. The record is from RNAcentral.
UGAGGAAUAUUGCAACAAUGGGCGCAAGCCUGAUGCAGCGACGCCGCGCGGGUGAUGAAGGUCUUCGGAUCGUAAAGCCCUUUUUCUGCGUGACGAGACAGGACGGUAGCGCAGGAAUAAGUCUCGGCUAACUACGUGCCAGCAGCCGCGGUAAAACGUAGGAGACGAACGUUAUCCGGAGUUACUGGGCGUAAAGGGCGUGUAGGCGGUUUGUUAAGUCUGGCGUGAAAGCUCUCGGCUAAACCGGGAGAGGUCGUUGGAUACUGGCGAACUAGAGGAUGGUAGAGGCGUGUGGAAUUCCGGGUGUAGUGGUGAAAUGCGUAGAGAUCCGGAGGAACACCAGUGGCGAAGGCGACACGCUGGGCCAAUUCUGACGCUGAGGAGCGAAAGCCAGGGGAGCAAACGGGAUUAGAUACCCGUGUAGUCCCUGAGCGGGCUGGCAAGGCGCAU